RNAcentral lists this ribosomal RNA (503 nucleotides) under uncultured bacterium. Its description in RNAcentral is "partial 16S ribosomal RNA". It matches the Rfam family "Bacterial small subunit ribosomal RNA", at positions 30 to 523 of the family's 1533-position model. The record is from RNAcentral.
AUUGAACGCUGGCGGCGGGCUUAACACAUGCAAGUCGAGCGGGGUGAUGGUGCUUGCACUAUCACUUAGCGGCGGACGGGUGAGUAAUGCUUAGGAAUCUGCCUAUUAGUGGGGGACAACAUCUCGAAAGGGAUGCUAAUACCGCAUACGUCCUACGGGAGAAAGCAGGGGAUCACUUGUGACCUUGCGCUAAUAGAUGAGCCUAAGUCGGAUUAGCUAGUUGGUGGGGUAAAGGCCUACCAAGGCGACGAUCUGUAGCGGGUCUGAGAGGAUGAGCCGCCAAACUGGGACUGAGACACGGCCCAGACUCCUACGGGAGGCAGCAAUGGGGAAUAUUGGACAAUGGGGGGAACCCUGAUCCAGCCAUGCCGCGUGUGUGGAGAAGGCCUUAUGGUUGUAAAGCACUUUAAGCGAGGAGGAGGCUCUUUUGGUUAAUACCCAAGAUGAGUGGACGUUACUCGCAGAAUAAGCACCGGCUAACUCUGUGCCAGCCGCCGCCGUAA